This 340-nucleotide long non-coding RNA is filed under the name Phascolarctos cinereus (koala). Its description in RNAcentral is "lncRNA (ENSPCIG00000037304.1)". Lineage: Eukaryota; Metazoa; Chordata; Mammalia; Diprotodontia; Phascolarctidae. The record is from RNAcentral.
CUUGCACCGAUUUCUUCUCCCCCCUCCCCCCAUGGAGAUAUUAUCAUUUCAGGCUGUUUGUUCUCAUGGAUAUCUUUAAGGGUCCUUAACACCCCCCCAUGGCCACCAAAGAUGCUAAUGGAUGGGCAUUGGUCCCAGAUGGCCCCUAACGAGUUACAGAAGUCGAGGCUCAGCAAAACAAAGCACGGAGGUGCCCAGCAAGCUUUGCCCAAGUGAAGGCCUUCCGCCCCUGCUGGAAGCAAUCAUGGAAUCCCCAGUGACUUCAGCAGGAGCUCCAGGCCUUCAGCAUUUGUGUAUGUACAGGUGCUGAGGAGCCGAAGUGCCCUGUACCCCCAAACUU